CCCGCAAGGUCGGCCAUGGCGCGACCGAGCAGAGCAGGUACUAUCCUUGUCGUGGAUUGCUGCCUCACGUGUACGCAGAGCACAUCUUGGGUGUUUAGGUUGCAAGGUCAGUUUAGUCUACUGCAACCAGGAUGAAUGUGCAUCAAUCUGGAAUUGAGAUUCUCAAUAUUCAGACAUUGUCGAUAACAAGUGGAUGCAGAUUUCUUGGGUGUUUAGAUCUGUAGUUCUUCCCGUCGCUGGUCUGUAUCUAUUACCACACUCAUCGAUAUGUGGCGGAAUUCAAGUCUUCGUCCACGUCCAACGACCUGCAGGGCCCUAUGCUCCUAUCGUUUUAGUGAGAAUAGUGCCAGUGAUUCAAAAGGAUCUCAAUUCUGACAGCAGAAGAAAGAAAUGAUGCAUGCUACUUUCAUUGUCGUCCUCGCGGUUAAUUACAUGAUCUCAGGUCUCUCUCUCCAAGUUGAUUUUUCUCCAUCGUCGGUCGUCGAUGAUUUUCUGCUGAGCAUAAUGGAAGACACAAGCAGCCGCUUGGAAGGACAUCUGAAAAAAAGGGCGCAGGGCGCGCUAUUAGAUGCC
This is a non-coding RNA of Triticum urartu, 573 nucleotides long. The record is from RefSeq and is a predicted model, not a curated record. Lineage: Eukaryota; Viridiplantae; Streptophyta; Magnoliopsida; Poales; Poaceae.